UGGGGAAUAUUGGACAAUGGGCGAAAGCCUGAUCCAGCCAUGCCGCGUGUGUGAAGAAGGUCUUUUGGUUGUAAAGCACUUUAAGUGGGGAGGAAAAGCUUAUAGUUAAUACCCAUAAGCCCUGACGUUACCCACAGAAUAAGCACCGGCUAACUCUGUGCCAGCAGCCGCGGUAAUACAGAGGGUGCAAGCGUUAAUCGGAAUUACUGGGCGUAAAGCGCGCGUAGGUGGUUAUUUAAGUCAGAUGUGAAAGCCCCGGGCUUAACCUGGGAACUGCAUCUGAUACUGGAUAACUAGAGUAGGUGAGAGGGGAGUAGAAUUCCAGGUGUAGCGGUGAAAUGCGUAGAGAUCUGGAGGAAUACCGAUGGCGAAGGCAGCUCCCUGGCAUCAUACUGACACUGAGGUGCGAAAGCGUGGGUAGCAAACAGGAUUAGAUACCCUGGUAGUCCACGCCGUAAACGAUGUCUACCAGUCGUUGGGUCUUUUAAAGACUUAGUGACGCAGUUAACGCAAUAAGUAGACCGCCUGGGGAGUACGGCCGCAAGGUUA
This 549-nucleotide ribosomal RNA is filed under the name uncultured bacterium. RNAcentral describes it as "bacterial SSU rRNA". It matches the Rfam family "Bacterial small subunit ribosomal RNA", at positions 355 to 896 of the family's 1533-position model. The record is from RNAcentral.